RNAcentral lists this ribosomal RNA (447 nucleotides) under uncultured Sphingomonas sp. Its description in RNAcentral is "bacterial SSU rRNA". It matches the Rfam family "Bacterial small subunit ribosomal RNA", at positions 341 to 803 of the family's 1533-position model. The record is from RNAcentral. Lineage: Bacteria; Pseudomonadati; Pseudomonadota; Alphaproteobacteria; Sphingomonadales; Sphingomonadaceae.
AAGAGGUGCGCAGAGAGACCAGCUGAGUACAUGGGCGGACCCUGAUCAGCAUGCGCGUGAGUGAUGAGGCCUUCGGGUUGUAAGCUCUUUUACCCGGGAAGAUACUGACGGUACCGGGAAGAAUAAGCCCCGGCUAACUCCGCUGCCAACAGCCCCCGCUAAUACUAAGGGAGCUAGCCGUUGCUUCGGAAUUACUGGUGCGUAACGUGCACCGUAAGCUGCUGUUUUAUAUCGCGUGUGAAAGCCCGUUGCUCAACCCCAGAACUGCCCUUCAGACUGCACCGCUUGACUACAGUAGAGGUGGGUGGAAUUCCGAGUGUAGAAGUGAAGUUCAUUUAUAUUCGUAAGAACACCAUUGGCGAAGGCGGCGCACUGCACCGGUACUGACGCUGAGGUGCUAAACCGUGGGGAGCACACAGGAUUAGAUACCCCGGUAGUCAACACAAU